Molecule: ribosomal RNA, 349 nt
Filed under: uncultured Methanosaeta sp.
Lineage: Archaea; Methanobacteriati; Methanobacteriota; Methanomicrobia; Methanotrichales; Methanotrichaceae
Description: bacterial SSU rRNA
Rfam family: Archaeal small subunit ribosomal RNA
Source: RNAcentral
UGCAUGGCCGUCGUCAGUUCGUACUGUGAAGCAAUCCUGUUAAGUCAGGCAACGAGCGAGACCCACGCCCACAGUUGCCAGCGUACUCUCUGGAGUGACGGGUACACUGUGGGGACCGCCGCUGGCUAAAGCGGAGGAAGGAAUGGGCAACGGUAGGUCAGUAUGCCCCGAAUAUCCCGGGCUACACGCGAGCUACAAUGGUUGGUACAAUGGGUAUCUACCCCGAAAGGGGACGGGAAUCUCCUAAAACCAAUCUUAGUUCGGAUUGAGGCUGCAACUCGCCCUCAUGAAGCUGGAAUCCGUAGUAAUCGCGUUUCAACAGAACGCGGUGAAUACGUCCCUGCUCCUU